Molecule: ribosomal RNA, 308 nt
Filed under: uncultured eukaryote
Lineage: Eukaryota
Description: partial 18S ribosomal RNA
Rfam family: Eukaryotic small subunit ribosomal RNA
Source: RNAcentral
CCCUUAGACGUUCUGGGCCGCACGCGCGCUACACUGACGAAGGCAACGAGCUUUCCUUUACCGAAAGGUACGGGUAAUCUUUUGAAACUUCGUCGUGCUGGGGAUAGAUCCUUGCAAUUUUUGAUCUUAAACGAGGAAUGCCUAGUAAGCGCAAGUCAUCAACUUGCGUUGAUUACGUCCCUGCCCUUUGUACACACCGCCCGUCGCUACUACCGAUUGAAUGGUUUAGUGAGGCCUUCGGAUCCGCGACUCGGUUUGUGGAGAAGUUGGACAAACUCAGUCAUUUAGAGGAAGUAAAAGUCGUAACA